RNAcentral lists this ribosomal RNA (163 nucleotides) under Vibrio alginolyticus. RNAcentral describes it as "partial 16S ribosomal RNA". It matches the Rfam family "Bacterial small subunit ribosomal RNA", at positions 1 to 147 of the family's 1533-position model. Lineage: Bacteria; Pseudomonadati; Pseudomonadota; Gammaproteobacteria; Vibrionales; Vibrionaceae. The record is from RNAcentral.
AAAUUGAAGAGUUUGAUCAUGGCUCAGAUUGAACGCUGGCGGCAGGCCUAACACAUGCAAGUCGAGCGGAAACGAGUUAUCUGAACCUUCGGGGAACGAUAACGGCGUCGAGCGGCGGACGGGUGAGUAAUGCCUAGGAAAUUGCCCUGAUGUGGGGGAUAAC